This 589-nucleotide ribosomal RNA is filed under the name Clostridioides difficile. Its description in RNAcentral is "bacterial SSU rRNA". It matches the Rfam family "Bacterial small subunit ribosomal RNA", at positions 952 to 1533 of the family's 1533-position model. The record is from RNAcentral. Lineage: Bacteria; Bacillati; Bacillota; Clostridia; Peptostreptococcales; Peptostreptococcaceae.
CGAAGCAACGCGAAGAACCUUACCUAAGCUUGACAUCCCAAUGACAUCUCCUUAAUCGGAGAGUUCCCUUCGGGGACAUUGGUGACAGGUGGUGCAUGGUUGUCGUCAGCUCGUGUCGUGAGAUGUUGGGUUAAGUCCCGCAACGAGCGCAACCCUUGUCUUUAGUUGCCAUCAUUAAGUUGGGCACUCUAGAGAGACUGCCAGGGAUAACCUGGAGGAAGGUGGGGAUGACGUCAAAUCAUCAUGCCCCUUAUGCUUAGGGCUACACACGUGCUACAAUGGGUAGUACAGAGGGUUGCCAAGCCGUAAGGUGGAGCUAAUCCCUUAAAGCUACUCUCAGUUCGGAUUGUAGGCUGAAACUCGCCUACAUGAAGCUGGAGUUACUAGUAAUCGCAGAUCAGAAUGCUGCGGUGAAUGCGUUCCCGGGUCUUGUACACACCGCCCGUCACACCACGGGAGUUGGAGACGCCCGAAGCCGAUUAUCUAACCUGUUGGAAGAAGUCGUCGAAGGUGGAAUCAAUAACUGGGGUGAAGUCGUAACAAGGUAGCCGUAUCGGAAGGUGCGGCUGGAUCACCUCCUUUCUAAGGA